GGGGUGGUAGCUCAAUUGGGAGAGCGCCUCGGUCGCAUCGAGGAGGUUGAGAGUUCGAUCCUCUUCCACUCCA
This 73-nucleotide transfer RNA is filed under the name Phycisphaerae bacterium. RNAcentral describes it as "tRNA-Ala". It matches the Rfam family "tRNA". From Rfam's summary of the family: Transfer RNA (tRNA) molecules are approximately 80 nucleotides in length. The record is from RNAcentral. Lineage: Bacteria; Pseudomonadati; Planctomycetota; Phycisphaerae.